RNAcentral lists this ribosomal RNA (119 nucleotides) under Pteropus alecto (black flying fox). The record is from RNAcentral. Lineage: Eukaryota; Metazoa; Chordata; Mammalia; Chiroptera; Pteropodidae.
GUCUACGGCCAUGCUACCCUGAGUAAGCCUGAUCCUGUCUGAUCUCGGAAGCUAAGCAGGGUCGGGCCUGGUUAGUACUUGGAUGGGAGACCACUUAGGAAGACCAGGUGCUGUGGGCA